This 710-nucleotide ribosomal RNA is filed under the name uncultured spirochete. RNAcentral's name for it is "bacterial SSU rRNA". It matches the Rfam family "Bacterial small subunit ribosomal RNA", at positions 59 to 759 of the family's 1533-position model. The record is from RNAcentral. Lineage: Bacteria; Pseudomonadati; Spirochaetota; Spirochaetia; Spirochaetales.
AAGUCGAGCGGCGAGCCGUAGCAAUACGGCCUAGAGCGGCGGACUGGUGAGUAACGCGUGGGUGACCUACCUAGAGGUUGGGGAUAGCCGUUAGAAAUAGCGGGUAAUACCGGAUAUGGUUAUUUUGCUUUGGCGAGAUAAAGAAAGGGGCUUUGGCCCCGCCUUUAGAUGGGCCCGCGUCCCAUUAGGUAGUUGGUGAGGUAAGGGCCCACCAAGCCUGAGAUGGGUAGCCGGCCUGAGAGGGUGAACGGCCACACUGGGACUGAGAUACGGCCCAGACUCCUACGGGAGGCAGCAGCUAAGAAUAUUCCGCAAUGGGCGAAAGCCUGACGGAGCGACGCCGCGUGGAUGAGGAAGGCCGAAAGGUUGUAAAAUCCUUUUGCCGUUGAAGAAUAAGGCGGGGAGGGAAUGCCCUGCUGAUGACGUUAGGCGGCGAAUAAGCCCCGGCUAAUUACGUGCCAGCAGCCGCGGUAACACGUAAGGGGCGAGCGUUGUUCGGAAUUAUUGGGCGUAAAGGGCGCGUAGGCGGCUGUGCAGGUCUGGCGUGAAAUGGCGGGGCUCAACCCCGUGAUGGCGCUGGAAACUGCGGAGCUUGAGUCAUGGAGGGGGAGUUGGAAUUCCGCGUGUAGGGGUGAAAUCUGUAGAUAUGCGGAAGAACACCGGUGGCGAAGGCGAACUUCUAGCCAAUGACUGACGCUGAGGCGCGAAAG